Molecule: long non-coding RNA, 3191 nt
Filed under: Linum usitatissimum (flax)
Lineage: Eukaryota; Viridiplantae; Streptophyta; Magnoliopsida; Malpighiales; Linaceae
Description: long non-coding RNA (LUSI_LNC002968)
Source: RNAcentral
AAUCAUCAAACUUUCAUUCUUUACAUUUCAAUCACCAUAUUAUUCCAACAAGGUUCCAUAGCAAUAUUAGAAAAUGGUCGCUUUAUAUAUUUAGACAUAGCAAUAACUAAUAACCUUGCAGCUGUAAUUUCAAGCCAAAGUGUAAGGCAGGUUAAUUAGACACUUCGGAGAAGCAUGAUGCAACCAUUGCUAAGGUUGACCAAGACAUUUCCUUUGCUUUCCGCAAAAAGCAAAAAUUUGCUUUCCGCAACAAGGCAACCCCUAAUUAGGACUUUCAAGAAACUAAGUUCACACUGGAUAAAAGAAGGAACAUUCAUGAGAUUUUCAACAUUCAUCGGACAAGGAAUACUUGAGGCAGAUAUGUAGUCUGUAAGCUUACACAUAUAAUAGGUGUUUGUCAAACUGUGCUUGGAGACCAAGAAUGAGUACUCUGAUUUUAAUCACAACAGAAGGCAGCAUCCUGUUUGCUACUUUCUCCUUCAUUUGAGUCUUCCACUUAGCCCUGCAAAUGAAAUGAAACUCGGGAUCAUCCACCAUUUCCAUCUUAUAUAAAGCACAAUAAAGGAUAAAUACAACAUCAACGUUCUAAUUUAUCAUACUUUCUGAUCAGAUCCAUGGUUCUGACUUUAUGCACUGAUCCUUUGUUCUUAUACCUGAAUGUUCACCUAGAUGCUAGACCCCUGGCCUUAAACCCUAAACCCCAGUACCUAGACCACACUACCUAGUACCUAAACCAGUUGAAAAAGCUCCAUAAUUUUCGCCAACCUGCAAUUAGAAAGCCAUGAAAAGAAGGAAGGAAGAGUUAUUUUUAUCAUAAAAAAGAAAUGAAAAGAAACAGCUACAUAUUCUCGCCAACUUGUGAAAAUCAAAUUAAAAUUAGUCCAAAACCAACCUUAGCAAUGAGACCCAUGAGACGAUGGUUGAGCAUGACCUAAAAACUCACCAAAACCGCUUAAAGAUAUAUCAAAUGGGAGCUCAAGGGUCCAAUGCCGGAAAAUGAGACACAAAUAGGAUAAUAUAGAGGUCAUCAAUAAAUUGACUCAAACUAGUGUAGCUUAUCAUGACUAAACAGCGACAUUUCAAUCAGGUCAUCAAGCAACGAGUCAUGAAGCAUCAAGCCCGACCACACAAUAAAAAAUCAAUGUUCCGCAAAGAAGUACAAGUGAAAUUCACGCAUAUCGUGCUAAUGAAAAUAAAACUUGCCAAUCGAGAAUACCAUUUCGUUUCCAUUAUCUUACCUUCGUGACACAAGAGGAAGUAGAAAACAUGGGGAAUUCUGGUCUGAGUAUUUUUUCCUGACUUGCAUGGAGGGGUGUUCACUCAUCCUCACCUUCUUUGUACUUGUGUUAGAGCGCACCAACUCAUCAUUUCACUUAGGUAAUGAACUUCCUAACACUUUUUUACACAACAUCCCUUGUUUUUUUCCCUCAAUGAAGGCGUGGUUAUCACCAAUGGUCAGGCAAGAUCUGAUUAAAGAUCCUUGUCCCAAACCCACACAGGGCAAACCCGAAAAAACCCUACAAACAGGGUCGCCCCGCGUGUGAGCCAUAACCACCUAAACCUUAAAGACUUUUUUGCUGGCUCAUUGUUUAGAAUUCCCCAUCCACUAGAACUUCAUAGCGCCUCAAAGGAGUUUUAACGGAAAAAUAAAAUGAUACUACUCACAUUGACAAGAUCCGAAUCCAUAAGAACGAUAUAUGAGAAUCUCAAAGUGCACUUAAGGAAGGAUAAAGGGAGAUGGUCAUGUUAGCAAAGAACGCAUAACAUUUGUGUCAACCAUAGUCGUCAUGAUAAUUCAAAGCAGUUUCAACCAGUUUAUGGCAUGACAACAACACGAUGCAGAUAAUAAGAACAAAGAUAACCAAGAGUAAGUAAGCAAGCAAGCAGGUCAGCAGUUAGAAAACCAACAUAGUAAAAAUAGGAAGAAUGUCAGUGACAGAGGCAAAUUACAAGGGAAAUAGGAAGAUAUCAACGAAAUUCCGGUUAAGGGGAAGCUAGCUAUAUACUCACAGAUCAUGGUUCGAGGACUGCAAAAACCUUAAAGAUCUCGUUCACAACACCGAUCUGGAACUUAGGAUUUGCAUUAGCAACAAAGGAGAGUUGGAAGUUUUCCUCUCAUCUGAUAGCCAUUGAGUCUUCUGAAAUUUGUUUAGAAAUGUCAGUCGCAGAUUUAGAAUUUGCCAUCUCCUUAAUUUGCUGCAAUUAAAACAACAAAUAAUUUCAUCACCAAAAUUAAUUUUACCGAAAAUUUAGUUGCCUCUUCCCAACUGCAUCUCCCAACUGCUUUUGUUAAUUUACCCCCUCUACAUUUGAAUAUAAAAAGGGAGCAGAUGAUUUGCUUAUCCCACUCACUUCUCAUCCCUGAAUUUUCUCUUCUUCCAUUCUCUGUACAUUUUUUUAUAGUGUAGUGUUGUCAUUUUCUUCAUUUGUUUAAUCGAGAGAUAUACUUUCUCAAUUGAGUAGAUAGAUGAUUGAUAGAAAGUUUUGGUAAAUAUUUUAUCGUAGUAGAAAUUUUUUUUGUGAGCGAUAAAAAUAGUAAGUAGUUGUUUCGAGAUUGGAAAAUACUUGGGAGAUAUUAUUUUUAGAUCGAUAUGGAUCGCCUUGUAGCUACCUUGUUUUAGUGAAGAAGUGCUCGUAGCUGUCUCUACUGCCGUAUAUGUACUCUCCGCAUUGGAGGGGAACUACAUAAAUGCCGAUGUUAUUUACCUACCAUUUUGUGUUGGACAAUUCAAGAAUAGUCGUUGUAUAUUGCAUUUUUAAUGUUACCACAGUAAAUUAGUCUAAGGAGAUUGGCUUAAUUAUUGACAUUAUGGUAUUGUGGUGGUUAUCACCCAUGCAUAAUGAUUUUAAGUGUGGCGAACUACCGUCACUUCCAACCUAACAAAAAGAUAUUUAUGAUGUGUGAUUUAUUAGUACAACAUAUUUAUUCCAUUCUCGUCUGCUGCCCCAACAACUAGAGCUAAUGUUCCCUCUUAGCGCCUACAAAAGAGUUUUACCAAUUUCACCACGGAAAUCACGAUCUCAACCCGCGAAAAAGAAAACCCCAAACGAUCGGAAAGUAAAACGAAAAUUAAAAAAAGAGGUAGAGAGAAUAGAAAAUUACCCAAACUCUAAGACCUACUUGAGCGACAACGUGAGAAGAAGUGGAAGAAGGCGUCGUCUAUGAGAAGUUCUAAAUUGCUCGAUGUGUG